UACUAAUUGACUCUUCACAGUACGGGCAGCUUAUAAAAGGAUAAAUCUUCCAGAAUUUUAAGGACUACCUCCCUAGACCGGCUGCGACUUAAGAACGAAAUGCAGAAUACUAAAUUAAACAAAAUCAAAAAAAUGUGUGAAAACUACUAAUUGACUCUUCACAGUACGGGCAGCUUAUAAAAGGAUAAAUCUUCCAGAAUUUUAAGGACUACCUCCCUAGACCGGCUGCGACUUAAGAACGAAAUGCAGAAUACUAAAUUAAACAAAAUCAAAAAAAUGUGUGAAAACUACUAAUUGACUCUUCACAGUACGGGCAGCUUAUAAAAGGAUAAAUCUUCCAGAAUUUUAAGGACUACCUCCCUAGACCGGCUGCGACUUAAGAACGUUCGCAAUAGACUGCUGGCUGGACUAUCUCCCAAGGAUGCAAGUUUUAUGACCACAGUUGGUGGCAGGUAUGGUUUUCUCAAAAUUUUGGCGUAUAGGAAAAAAAUAAAAUUUGUUAAUUAGCCAUCAUACAUAGCUUUUUCCAAAAUUAUAUGUUUCAUUCUAUGAGCAAACAAAAAGUAUUAGUUUGUAAAAUGGCGUACGUAUUUGCAAAAAUUGUCGUGUGCAGGGAAAAAUUUAAAAAGAAGAAAGGGAAAUGAAAAGUUGGCAACGCGGGGAUAUAAACAAUUUGACAGCUGGAAAAUAUAAACAAAAAUAAAUCUAAAGUAAGAAAGAACUACACUACUUAAGCAAAUGGCUAAAAUGAAAAUAAAUUAUUAGAAACCAUAUUGGCAACCGAGGUUUCUCGGUCCUUAAAAACUAAAAUGCCGGUCCUUUUAAUUU
This is a long non-coding RNA of Lucilia sericata (common green bottle fly), 828 nucleotides long. RefSeq lists it as uncharacterized. The transcript is spliced from 4 exons. The record is from RefSeq and is a predicted model, not a curated record. Lineage: Eukaryota; Metazoa; Arthropoda; Insecta; Diptera; Calliphoridae.